UAUGUAGGUCCCGAGCGUUGUCCGGAUUUAUUGGGCGUAAAGCGGGCGCAGGUGGUUUAUUAAGUCUGGUGUAAAAGGCAGUGGCUCAACCAUUGUAUGCAUUGGAAACUGGUAGACUUGAGUGCAGGAGAGGAGAGUGGAAUUCCAUGUGUAGCGGUGAAAUGCGUAGAUAUAUGGAGGAACACCGGUGGCGAAAGCGGCUCUCUGGCCUGUAACUGACACUGAGGCUCGAAAGCGUGGGGAGCAAACAGG
Molecule: ribosomal RNA, 252 nt
Filed under: uncultured bacterium
Lineage: Bacteria
Description: partial 16S ribosomal RNA
Rfam family: Bacterial small subunit ribosomal RNA
Source: RNAcentral